AUUAAUAAUCGAGGGGUCGGGAACCUCUAAAAAUUAAU
Non-coding RNA from Flavobacteriaceae bacterium TMED179, 38 nucleotides. The record is from Rfam. NCBI's taxonomy places the organism in Bacteria, Pseudomonadati, Bacteroidota, Flavobacteriia, Flavobacteriales, Flavobacteriaceae.